UCACUCACGGCCGUGCAUUCAGCAACACAAACUCGUCACAGAGCAAUAUGCCCAGACUGGACACCCCCCACCAUUACCCCCACCACCCCCUCUGUAGGUGCUCAUUAUAAGAAGGCAAGCUUUGUUUGAGCCAAUCGCCCCGAAGAACUUUUGUUCGUGGAAAUGCAAAAAAAUGGACGAAAUUGUAUUAACAGAAUAAGGCUGGUUAAAUUGCACCCCAAAUUAUUUUUCCACUGAUAGGAAAAGUUGUCAACAUAGUUCCUUUGUAAACUGUAAAAACCAAGCUACACCUUCACUAUCUCUCAGCAGCUCGCACACAAAGUCGUUUUCCUUCUAACAGAGCCCAACCCACCCACAACGCGCCAUUUUUUUUCCUCCUCCCUGCCCAUUGUGACAGUCGAGAGCGAUUGGAACAGCACCCGACGGCUUUUACCUCGGGUUGACCUGAGUUUCAACUCGCCUCCUUCCCCGCCCUCGCCUCCUCUCUCGCAUCUCCGGCCCACUUUGAAUGUCGUCCGUUUCUUGCGGCUCAUUACCGCCCGCCGUGGCUCGCUUGUACAAGCAUAAAGUCUCAGAUGGUUGCUCUGAUGCGCAGAUCGUUUGCUUUUUCCUCAUCUUCUGUGAUUUCUCUUGCAGUGCAGAUUACCGGGUUCAUUUAAGUUGAGUACUGCAUCUCCGAUGCUUCCUUUUUCCAAGCGUGCACUAGCUGCUGUAUGUAUCCUAAAUCCCUAGCGAAUGUGGAGGGCCACGUUUAUUUGAUUUUUUUUCCCCUUUUUUUUAUGAUAAUCUUGCAUCGUUGCUCAUGCAAAUGAUCUCAUUAAAAUGUGAUCAUCACACCGGCGUAAAUACUCAUGUAACCGUGUGACAGGACGAAGGCAAGAGGGACGAAACCUGUUUAACAAGAGACGAAGAGCACAUAAUUGCCUCUCCGUGCCGCUUGGCGCCCUUCUUUUGCCCUGUUGGUUUUACCCUUGACCUCUCAUCACCGCCGCAACGGCGGAUCAUCUGGGUCACGACCCCUGAGGAGAACGUUCUCUUUUGCUCACCUCUGCCUGCUCCUCUCUCCUUUGCAAUCAGAGAUCCUUUCAAAUGUCAAGGUGGGACAAAUGGGAGCUAUUCCCGCUUGUAAUGGGCAGCAGAAAUGAGGGGCUUCUCUCUCUCUUUCUCUUUCUCACACACACUCUCUCUUUUUGAGGAUACAUUUGCCAAAGUCUACUUUCAACAUCCAUCCAUCCAUCCAUCCAUUAUCUACCGCUUAUCCGGGGCCGGCUCGCGGGGGCAACAGCUUUAGCAGGGAAGCCCAGACUUCCCUCUCCCUAGCUACUUCUUCCAGCUCUCCCCGGGGGAUCCCGAGUCGUUCCCAGGCAAGCUGGGUGACAUAGUCUCUCCAGCGUGUCCUGGGUCUUCCUCGGGGUCUCCUCCCGGUGGGACAUGACCGGAACACCUCACCGGGGAGGCGCUCAGGAGGCAUCCGAAUCAGAUGCCCAAGCCACCUCAUCUGGCUCCUCUCGAUGUGGAGGAGAAGCGGCUCGACUCUGAGCCCCUCCCGGAUGACUGAGCUUCUCACCUUAUCUCUAAGGGAGAGCCCGGACACCCUACUUUCAACAGCAAAAGGAAUUAAAAACAAACAUCCCUCCUCAUAAUGGUCUCAUAUAUUUUCAUGAAGUAUUAUUCUGCAAAUGAUAUUUGAAGGGCGUAGAUGUCAUAAUGGAGUCUUAAUAGCCCGAUUCAUUAAUGUGAUUGUUGUUGUGUACAGAUUACACGGCAGUGUCAUUUGGAAAACGGAUAGAUGGUGCCUGGCCACUUGCAUCGGUGGUAAUGAUAAUUGCCGUUUAGGAAUUUGCGAAGGCCGCAAAAGCAGAAACCCUGGAAGCGAAAAAUGUAUCCCAAGCGAGUGCGGCCAUACUCGGGGGUGUCAAAGCCAAAGAGGACCUCUAGAUGAUGGCUGCAUCUAUGCUUUUGAGGGCUGAGAAUUUGAUCCUUUCUUAUCUUUCCAACCAUCCCUGUGGCAAUGGAGUGGUGAGAGACGCAAUCACGCCCUUCUUCCCUGCCUGACAGGAAACCACCUCUGAAAAUACAGCAGCUCUGAUUGGAGGGUGUUUGAACUUGCUGUGUUGCUUUCCACAUCCGAAUACUUCAGCAUUGAUUUGGUGGGCAGAUUACCAUGUGGGCACACAGCAGUGCUUCUCCCCCUGUAUUGGGCAAGAAAUCCGAAAUAUAUACAGUAUAUUUGUUGAUAUGACUCUUAUAUUUGCAUCUCAGUAGCCAUAGCUGAUGUUGACUUCUGAGGAACAUAUUUUGUCCCAGGGGACGUUAUAUUCCGGCUCAAGGAAAUAGAGUGGAGGUCGGUUUUCGGGUGAAGGGUAAUGAAUGUCACAUGUGAAACAGAUUUACGUGGAGGGGAAAGUUGAGCAUUUUAUUUGAGCCAGGAUCAAAACAUGGAAAAAGCACCUCGGCGAUCCUCUUGUACAGCCGUUAAUGAUGUUGUGACUGUGCCCCCAGUGACAGCUUGUAAGAAUGUGGGCCCAACUUUCCUGACAGCUGACAAAAGCUAAUUUUCCUUUUUAAGUCCGCCGGGGCGUUGCGGACCUGCAAAUCAAUUGCCGGGGUUCCCCCCCCCCCCUCCCCCUCAGCGUUACCCUGAGAUGUUUGAACACGUUGUAGGUGACAUGUUUUCAUACAGCAGCCUUUAUUGUCGGACAGCUGCAGGGAGAGAAAUGUCAGAGACGUGGCGCUUGCUCUUCAACGCAGCUGCGAUUUGACUUGGUAGGAUGUUUGAGCUUUUCAGGCUGAUGAAGAAAUCUCACCUGUUUUCAGAAGCCUCCAAAUGUUGCCUUUGAAAAAGCACAUCAAGUCAGCAUUUAUCACCAACCUUCUAGGCCGACUAUUUCCAUGGGAAAACCGCAGGCAAAAUAAAUGUUCGAUUGUCAGGCUGAGAGGCCUGUUGCCUCCUUUUCGGCUUUGCGAGAAGCUACUAAUGUUCUUGUCCAGUGCUAGCCAAUUGCUUUCGCUGCGUGCCUGGAGAAAGACGCCAGGCUAAUACAUUUGAAUCGGUGAAGCGAAGGUUGUGCAGAAUUACUUUCAACCCCUUUCCCCUCCGAACACCCCCUCUUUUUUCAUUUUAAUUUCCCCAUUGGAUUGACAAACCAUUUUCACGAUUAGCACUGUGAGUCCGUGCGAGCGCGUGCGUAUGCCUGUGUGUGCGUGUGUCUCCAGAGCAGAUAAGACAAAUAAAUAGGUGCAAUGUUUCCCGGUAAUUAUAUUGUGGUGAGGCAUAAGAACAACAUUCAACGCUGUGAUAUGACGCUACAUGACACCACAAAGGCCCUGAGAGGCAGAAUCCAACUUGAACUUGACAGCUUCGGGCAUUAAUGACAAGCUAACCCUGAAACUGAGGGGCCUUUGGGGACUUCAAACCAGGCUGUGUUUCCUUUACGAUUAUAGAUAAGAGACUGAUACAUGACCUCUGUCAUUUUUAAAGACUCUAACAUUUUGAAAUCAACCCUCACAGGUGUAAUCGGCACGAGAAUAGACGGGAGAGGCUUUUCAGGGGUGUUAAACUGCCCCACCAAGCAAUUUUACUAUAAUGCCUUCCAGAUGAUAAGAGUCGAAAUGGAUUUGCAUUAGCACAGGGAGUGUGGAGUCACUGAUGCAGAACUACUGGAGCUCUGGCUGACACUCCACUCAUCAAGGACCGAUAAAGGCAUUUCGUGGUCUCUUUUUGGCAUGACGCACACACAGUGUAGCAAGCAUGACCCCCCCCCCACCCCAAUUUUUUUUUUAAUCUAUUCUUGCUCUCUGCCCAUUGUGUCGCUUUUGUCCCAGGGCCAUUUGAACUGGUGAUGAAACAGGAUGCGGCAGCCUAAAAAUUCAAUAAACAUCUUUUCAGGUGUGACGAGCUAAUUUGGAUGGUGAAAAGAGAGACUUUUCAAACCGGCUAAAUUCAAACAUUUUCACGGUUAUGUCUCCAUUCAUAUCCAAGCAUGUGGCAUAAAAGUAUGCAAUGCAUCUCAGCAUGGAUCUUUUCUCUAUUGAUGAAGCAUGGCAAAGAAUAAUCGGUUCCAAAGAUUUGGGGGUUUGAUUUUUCCAGCAAACCAGCAAAACUGAAAUGAACUCGUUGCACCUGCAUCUGAGAAAGUAACAAGCAUCAUUCACCAAAACAAAACAACUUGUUUGGUUUCAGGGAUCAUUUAAAAGGGAAACUCCCUCACCUUUUAACCAUGAGGAGAACAUUGUAAACACCACAUGAGCCGAGCAAUCUUUUUAUUGCGUUACACUUGAUAAAAACCUGGGCGGGAAAAAAAAAAGUCGUUCUGCUUGUAGUUGCGUGAGCGAAGCCGUUCCCACAGCUGGUGGGAAACAAAGAGCAGGAAACAGGAAAAAAAAAGAAUAAAAAUACUCCAAUGGCUUGGCGCUUUUUGAGAAAGAAAAUCCAUCUCCUGCCUUGUAAGUUGUAAAUCACCCCAAGAGUGUCACAAACAAGUGGGCAAUUGCUAUGCAUGUUGAAAGCUUUGCGUCGGCUCUUUUUUUUCGUUAUUUAUGUGGAUAGAAUUUUAAGCACUGCCUUCCUAUUGUACAAUCGACAGUUUCUGGAAAUAGCUGCAAUAAUUCUUAUCAGGACCGUGAAACGAGAGAGUGGAACCCGAUCACCCCUAACGUGACAAAACAAGUGAUUGAAUUUGUGAAUCUUAGCAACUCCAUUUGUGAAAAGGGGGACAACAAAGGGUGCAUAUGGGGGCAAGUCUGUUCCCACUUGAGGGAAUUGUCCCACCCUGAGCUAGCAGAGAGUUUAAAUCGUUUUUUUUCUUUUAAAGCAGACCCUUUUAUUUAAGGACAUUUGGAAUCAAGGCGCAUUGUUUUGACAUUAAUUUGUUCGUCAAGCUAAAGAAAAAAAGUCCCUGUGCCCAGAAGCGGCGUAUUUUGUAAGAAGACGGAAAGGGCGAGAAUGUUUCCAAAAACCUGCCAUUCAGUAUAUGCCUCCAUGACUGCCAAGUAAUUCUCCAAUAAAAAAAAAAAACAAA
Hippocampus zosterae (dwarf seahorse) is the source of this 5021-nucleotide long non-coding RNA. RefSeq lists it as uncharacterized. NCBI's taxonomy places the organism in Eukaryota, Metazoa, Chordata, Actinopteri, Syngnathiformes, Syngnathidae. The record is from RefSeq and is a predicted model, not a curated record. The transcript has 2 exons.